RNAcentral lists this ribosomal RNA (429 nucleotides) under uncultured bacterium. RNAcentral's name for it is "bacterial SSU rRNA". It matches the Rfam family "Bacterial small subunit ribosomal RNA", at positions 355 to 776 of the family's 1533-position model. The record is from RNAcentral.
UGGGGAAUAUUGGACAAUGGGGGCAACCCUGAUCCAGCCAUGCCGCGUGUGUGAAGAAGGCCUUCGGGUUGUAAAGCACUUUCAGUGGGGAGGAAGGCCUGUUGGCUAAUACCCAUCAGGAUUGACGUUACCCACAGAAGAAGCACCGGCAAACUCCGUGCCAGCAGCCGCGGUAAUACGGAGGGUGCGAGCGUUAAUCGGAAUUACUGGGCGUAAAGCGCACGUAGGCGGCCUGUUAAGCUGGAUGUGAAAGCCCCGGGCUCAACCUGGGAAUGGCUUCCAGAACUGGCAGGCUAGAGUACGGUAGAGGUGAGUGGAAUUUCCUGUGUAGCGGUGAAAUGCGUAGAUAUAGGAAGGAACACCAGUGGCGAAGGCGGCUCACUGGACUGGUACUGACGCUGAGGUGCGAAAGCGUGGGGAGCAAACAGG